CUCGCUAUUCGGCCAUUGGGCUAAGAUCAAGUGUAGUAUCUGUUCUUAUCAGUUUAGUAUCUGAUAUGUCCUCUAUAUGAGGGCUCUAUAUUAAGCAGGUUUUAAAGCUGGGAGCCGGAAACGGGGCUUGCUCCGUCUGCUCCACGCGUAGGCCUGGUAUUGCAGUACUUCCGGGCUUGGUGCACCAUUU
Hemibagrus wyckioides is the source of this 190-nucleotide small nuclear RNA. RefSeq annotates it as U2 spliceosomal RNA. Lineage: Eukaryota; Metazoa; Chordata; Actinopteri; Siluriformes; Bagridae. The transcript has a single exon. The record is from RefSeq and is a predicted model, not a curated record.